This 498-nucleotide ribosomal RNA is filed under the name uncultured bacterium. RNAcentral describes it as "partial 16S ribosomal RNA". It matches the Rfam family "Bacterial small subunit ribosomal RNA", at positions 28 to 507 of the family's 1533-position model. The record is from RNAcentral.
GACGAACGCUGGCGGCGUGCCUAAUACAUGCAAGUCGAGCGGACGGAUGGGAGCUUGCUCCCAGACCGUCAGCGGCGGACGGGUGAGUAACACGUGGGCAACCUGCCUGUAAGACUGGGAUAACUCCGGGAAACCGGGGCUAAUACCGGAUAACUCUUUCCCUCACAUGAGGGAAAGCUGAAAGAUGGCAUCUCGCUAUCACUUACAGAUGGGCCCGCGGCGCAUUAGCUAGUUGGUGAGGUAACGGCUCACCAAGGCGACGAUGCGUAGCCGACAUGAGAGGGUGAUCGGCCACACUGGGACUGAAACACGGCCCAGACUCCUACGGGAGGCAGCAGUAGGGAAUCUUCCGCAAUGGACGAAAGUCUGACGGAGCAACGCCGCGUGAGUGAUGAAGGUUUUCGGAUCGUAAAACUCUGUUGUCAGGGAAGAACAAGUACCGGAGUAACUGCCGGUACCUUGACGGUACCUGACCAGAAAGCCACGGCUAACUACGUG